This 200-nucleotide ribosomal RNA is filed under the name uncultured bacterium. RNAcentral's name for it is "partial 16S ribosomal RNA". It matches the Rfam family "Bacterial small subunit ribosomal RNA", at positions 8 to 219 of the family's 1533-position model. The record is from RNAcentral.
AGAGUUUGAUCCUGGCUCAGGACGAACGCUGGCGGCGUGCUUAACACAUGCAAGUCACGGGGGCCCGCAAGGGUAACCGGCGAACGGGUGCGUAACACGUGAGCAAUCUGCCUAGAUGUGGGGGAUAGCCGGCCCAACGGCCGGGUAAUACCGCAUACGUUCCAUGGGGGGAGUCCCCUGUGGAGGAAACCUCCGGGGCA